UACAGGGGGGGCAAGCGUUGUUCGGAAUUACUGGGCGUAAAGGGCCAGUAGGCGGCCAACUAAGUCACACGUGAAAUCCCCAGGCUUAACCUGGGAACUGCGUGUGAUACUGGAUGGCUUGAAUUCGGGAGAGGGAUGCAGAAUUCCAGGUGUAGCGGUGAAAUGCGUAGAUAUCUGGGGGAAUACCGGUGGCGAAGGCGGCAUCCUGGACCGACAUUGACGCUGAACGGCGAAAGCUAGGGGAGCAAACGGG
RNAcentral lists this ribosomal RNA (253 nucleotides) under uncultured bacterium. RNAcentral's name for it is "partial 16S ribosomal RNA". It matches the Rfam family "Bacterial small subunit ribosomal RNA", at positions 524 to 776 of the family's 1533-position model. The record is from RNAcentral.